RNAcentral lists this ribosomal RNA (429 nucleotides) under Pseudomonadota bacterium. Its description in RNAcentral is "Proteobacteria bacterium partial 16S ribosomal RNA". It matches the Rfam family "Bacterial small subunit ribosomal RNA", at positions 355 to 776 of the family's 1533-position model. The record is from RNAcentral. Lineage: Bacteria; Pseudomonadati; Pseudomonadota.
UGGGGAAUAUUGGACAAUGGGCGAAAGCCUGAUCCAGCCAUGCCGCGUGUGUGAAGAAGGUCUUCGGAUUGUAAAGCACUUUAAGUUGGGAGGAAGGGCAGUAAGCGAAUACCUUGCUGUUUUGACGUUACCGACAGAAUAAGCACCGGCUAACUCUGUGCCAGCAGCCGCGGUAAUACAGAGGGUGCAAGCGUUAAUCGGAAUUACUGGGCGUAAAGCGCGCGUAGGUGGUUCGUUAAGUUGAAUGUGAAAGCCCCGGGCUCAACCUGGGAACUGCAUCCAAAACGGGCGAGCUAGAGUAGGGCAGAGGGUGGUGGAAUUUCCUGUGUAGCGGUGAAAUGCGUAGAUAUAGGAAGGAACACCAGUGGCGAAGGCGACCACCAGGACUCAUACUGACACUGAGGUGCGAAAGCGUGGGGAGCAAACAGG